Molecule: ribosomal RNA, 253 nt
Filed under: uncultured bacterium
Lineage: Bacteria
Description: partial 16S ribosomal RNA
Rfam family: Bacterial small subunit ribosomal RNA
Source: RNAcentral
UACGUAGGGGGCAAGCGUUGUCCGGAUUUAUUGGGCGUAAAGAGCGUGUAGGCGGCCUUACAGGUCAGCUGUGAAAACUCGAGGCUCAACCUCGAGACGUCGGUUGAAACCGUAUGGCUAGAGUCCGGAAGAGGAGAGUGGAAUUCCCGGUGUAGCGGUGAAAUGCGCAGAUAUCGGGAAGAACACCCGUGGCGAAGGCGGCACUCUGGGACGGUACUGACGCUGAGACGCGAAAGCGUGGGGAGCGAACAGG